RNAcentral lists this ribosomal RNA (254 nucleotides) under uncultured bacterium. RNAcentral's name for it is "partial 16S ribosomal RNA". It matches the Rfam family "Bacterial small subunit ribosomal RNA", at positions 524 to 776 of the family's 1533-position model. The record is from RNAcentral.
GACGUAGGGCGCGAGCGUUGUCCGGAUUUAUUGGGCGUAAAGAGCUCGUAGGCGGUUCAUUGCGUCAAUCGUGAAAUCCUGUGGCUCAACUACAGGCUUGCGGUUGAUACGGGUGGGCUGGAGUUCGGUAGGGGAGACUGGAAUUCCUGGUGUAGCGGUGAAAUGCGCAGAUAUCAGGAGGAACACCGGUGGCGAAGGCGGGUCUCGUGGGCCGUAACUGACGCUGAGGAGCGAAAGCGUGGGGAGCGAACAGG